This 589-nucleotide ribosomal RNA is filed under the name uncultured bacterium. RNAcentral's name for it is "bacterial SSU rRNA". It matches the Rfam family "Bacterial small subunit ribosomal RNA", at positions 337 to 917 of the family's 1533-position model. The record is from RNAcentral.
UCCUACGGGAGGCAGCAGAAGGGAAUCUUCCGCAAUGGACGAAAGUCCGACGGAGCAACGCCGCGUGAGUGAUGAAGGUUUUCGGAUCGUAAAGCUCUGUUGUUAGGGAAGAACAAGUGCGAGAGUAACUGCUCGCACCUUGACGGUACCUAACCAGAAAGCCACGGCUAACUACGUGCCAGCAGCCGCGGUAAUACGUAGGUGGCAAGCGUUGUCCGGAAUUAUUGGGCGUAAAGGGCUCGCAGGCGGUUUCUUAAGUCUGAUGUGAAAGCCCCCGGCUCAACCGGGGAGGGUCAUUGGAAACUGGGAAACUUGAGUGCAGAAGAGGAGAGUGGAAUUCCACGUGUAGCGGUGAAAUGCGUAGAGAUGUGGAGGAACACCAGUGGCGAAGGCGACUCUCUGGUCUGUAACUGACGCUGAGGAGCGAAAGCGUGGGGAGCGAACAGGAUUAGAUACCCUGGUAGUCCACGCCGUAAACGAUGAGUGCUAAGUGUUAGGGGGUUUCCGCCCCUUAGUGCUGCAGCUAACGCAUUAAGCACUCCGCCUGGGGAGUACGGUCGCAAGACUGAAACUCAAAUGAAUUGACGGA